Molecule: ribosomal RNA, 537 nt
Filed under: uncultured bacterium
Lineage: Bacteria
Description: bacterial SSU rRNA
Rfam family: Bacterial small subunit ribosomal RNA
Source: RNAcentral
AAUAGAUACCCUGGUAGUCCACGCCCUAAACGAUGUCGACUAGGUGUUGGGGAAGGAGACUUCCUUAGUACCGCAGCUAACGCGUGAAGUCGACCGCUUGGGGAGUACGGUCGCAAGAUUAAAACUCAAAGGAAUUGACGGGGACCCGCACAAGCGGUGGAUGAUGUGGAUUAAUUCGAUGCAACGCGAAAAACCUUACCUACCCUUGACAUGGUCGGAAGCCCGAUGAGAGUUGGGUGUGCCCGAAAGGGAGCCGACACACAGGUGCUGCAUGGCUGUCGUCAGCUCGUGUCGUGAGAUGUUGGGUUAAGUCCCGCAACGAGCGCAACCCUUGCCAUUAGUUGCCACAUUCAGUUGGGCACUCUAAUGGGACUGCCGGUGACAAACCGGAGGAAGGUGGGGAUGACGUCAAGUCCUCAUGGCCCUUAUGGGUAGGGUCCUCACACGUCAUACAAUGGCGCAUACAGAGGGGUUUGCCAACCCGGCGAGGGGGGUAGCCGAAUCCCGAGAAACGUGCGUCGUAGUCCGGAUCGGAGU